RNAcentral lists this ribosomal RNA (633 nucleotides) under Triticum aestivum (bread wheat). RNAcentral describes it as "partial small subunit ribosomal RNA". Lineage: Eukaryota; Viridiplantae; Streptophyta; Magnoliopsida; Poales; Poaceae. The record is from RNAcentral.
AUGUUGAUGCAAGACUACUUCACAGAGAAUCCAACAUAUCCGCCGCACCUCUUCAGUAGAAGGUACCGAAGCCGAUCUCUCUUUGUGAAAAUUGUUCAAGCUUGCGAGGCCAAUUAUCGGUAUUUUACUCAAAGAAGAAAUGCCACGGGCUUGAAGGGAUUUAGUGCAUAUCAAAUAAUCUCGGCAGCUAUGUGGGUAAUUGCAUACGGCAUUCCGGCUGACUAUGCCGAUGAGUACCUUCGCAUUGGUGAAAAUACCACAAUUGAGUUAGUGCGUAGGUUUGCCAAAGUGAUUGUCCGUGUCUUUGGUCUUGAAUAUCUUUGGGCACCCAACGAGGAAGACACAAAAAAAUUGGUGGCAUCUAAUGAGAGAAGAGGUUGGCCUGGCAUGCUAGGUAGCAUUUAUUGUAUGCAUUGGACUUGGAAAAUUUGCCCGAAGGCAUGGCAGGGAAUGUAUUGUGGCAAGUCUCAUGAUGCAACAAUUGUGCUAGAGGCCGUAGCAUGCCAGGUACUCUCAAUGAUAUCGAUGUGUUGCAACGGUCUCAUUUGUUUGCUAGGCUUGCUAGUGGUGAUGCUCCUUCUUGCAACUACACUAUCAAUGGGAAUGAAUACACAAAGGGGUACUAUCUUGUAG